Molecule: long non-coding RNA, 428 nt
Organism: Equus quagga
Lineage: Eukaryota; Metazoa; Chordata; Mammalia; Perissodactyla; Equidae
Exons: 4
Source: RefSeq, a predicted model, not a curated record
CCUGGACAUGUUUAUUUUUCAAAUUGACAAAGAGUAAAAGAUCUUUUCUGACAUUUUGCCUUGGGGGACUGGAUUAAAGGUUUACAGAACUUUCAGAAGGCAGCAAUGGAUUAAUUUGGAUGAGGGGCCCAGGGGCCUCUUGAAAGGGAAGAGACUGAGUAAUCUACAGGAGCUAGAGAGAAGAUAUCGUCUAGACCGAUUGGCCCGACUCUACCCUUUUUUCGUGGAGUGCAGUGGUGUAAUGUGUAGCGUACCUGGACUGUCUGGACUGGUCUACACUGGAGACUUGAUCUUGUGUCUUGUACUCAGAUAAGAUAUGCAGGGGACAAUUUAUCAGUUCUCAUCUCUGAGCUGCUGACACACUCACUCAGAACAGAACAUCUUUUUCAAGUCUUUAUAAACCAAAUGUUUCAAGGAAAGAAUAUCAG